This 17351-nucleotide long non-coding RNA is filed under the name Setaria viridis. RNAcentral describes it as "long non-coding RNA (SVIR_LNC007217)". The record is from RNAcentral. Lineage: Eukaryota; Viridiplantae; Streptophyta; Magnoliopsida; Poales; Poaceae.
UGCUCACAAUUAAUCCGAUUACACACGAGCUUCUCUCCCUGGCCAAGACACAACCAUAGUAUGAUGAAGAACAUGGCACUAGCCGGCAAUGGUAUGAAGAAGUUAAUCCUCGCUGUUCUCUUACUGUGUCUAGUUAUAGGGCAGAUACAAGUGGAAGCUAAGAGCUGCUGCCCAUCCACCACUGCAAGAAAUGUCUACAAUACCUGCCGUUUCACGGGUACAUCCCGUCCAACGUGUGCAAAACUGUCAGGCUGCAAAAUUAUCAGCGGGAACAAAUGCAAGCCCCCUAACGACCACCUCACCCUUGACCCGGACACUGGUAAAUAAUAAAUUUAUCUCACUUGAUUUCUUCGUGAUUUGAGUCGUUAAUGUAUUUUCCAUCUGAUGAAACGUAUUGGUUUUGCAUUGAAGAGGAAGUUAAUGUGCUUAACUUCUGCAAGUUGGGGUGUGCGUCGUCUGUGUGCAACAACAUCAACGCUGGUAAGCAACUUUUGCUCAGACAGAGAAAACAAUAAUCAUUAAUUAGCGGCAGCUAGAAUCCUAUAAUCUAAUAUAUAUAUAUAUAUAUAAUUUUAUCAGCUCUGGGAAAUGAAGAGGCGAACGAUGCCGUUGAGAGUUGCGACCAAGCCUGCUCUAGCUUCUGCAGCGUGCAUGUUGGCAGCGCCACCGUGGUUGCUUAAGCAAAUGCAUCCAACUAGAUCGUCCUUGUGCUGAAUAAUUGGAUAUCGUAUCCACUUAAAGCUGCCUUGUGUAGUACGUCUUUGUGUCUCUCUUUAUAUUCCAAUAAGGUCGGUGAUCUUGAUGCCACACACUCAGAUGUGUGUUCAUCUCCAGAUACUACUCCAUGCUACCUGCCCUUUGUGUUUUGUUCAAUAACUGGGUAUCAUAUCCCAGCCAGUAUGCCGUCUGUUUUGUGUUUGUUUCCUUCUAGUUCCAAAGGGGUCAUCAUGAUGUUACCUUCUUUCAAUAUGGUGCUUUGCAUGACUACUGUUGUAUGGUACCAUCUUGUGGCCAAUAAGUACAUCUUAUCCUAUGACCUUUGCUAUGACCCUUUGCAAAUAAGUAGAAGAUUGUUAUAAGCGUCAAUACUCCGUAUAAAUUGAUCGCUGCUGUGAGUUCCCUUUCAGCUUAUCGUAGGCAUACAUUAUUGCUAGCACGGUAAAGCCAACCAACACGAAUGAUGAAGUAAACGUAGCGGUACUUCUGUAUACCAACACCCUUACUUAAAUGUACCGGUGUCAUUCCCUACUGGCACAUAUAUUCUUAUAUGCUAGCCAGCUUGUAAAAUUAACCAAUUAAAAUAAUUAUUUCAAGAUAGAAAUAACUUAUCGGUUUCUGGAAGCAUGUGUAAUGUGAAUUCAAGGACUCGACGGAAGUUGAAUCACUUCAUCUAUAUUGCUUUCAGUAUUUUGGGUAACUAAAUUUAACAUUUGCACAUACAAAUGUUAAAGUACAAAUGUUAAAUCUAGUUACCCAAGCAGAAUAUGAAGAUAGUUUAUAGUAUAUAUAUACUAUAUAAAUCUAGUUAACAUUUAGUCUAAAUGUUAAAUCUAGUUACCUAAAAUCCUGAAAGCAAAAUGUAUAAAUAUAUAUCUUUUAAGGCAGUAUAAGCUUCGAUUCCUAUUGCUGCUCUGUUAAAUCUCAUCUUUCGUUGUGGCCCAACACUCUAGUAUGCAUGUUGCACCAAGCUUCUUUGAGCCGCUCUGCCCUCUGAUUUUGCUGCGUAGGGGAAUCUUUAUCAGGUUGGGCUACUUCCAGUUGUGCGAUGUAAAGAUUCGUAUUUUCUAGAAGGUAGACAAAAAACUCGCGUUCUCUUAAGGCAACAACCGGAAGAUUCUGCAGCGCACAGGGCAUACCAUUAUUGUAGAAACGACCUUUAGUACCGAUCUCCAACCCCCUUUAAAACUGGUUUUGCAACCGGUACCGUUAUGUCGGUCCUUUAGUACCAGAUCAAAUAAGUACCGGUUGGUAACCAGUAUCAACUUGUUUUGCGGCCAAAAAAAUAAAGAAAAAAACAGUCAGAAGGCUCGCGCACACGCGCAUCACAUGAAAUAUGCGUGUGCGGGGUCCAUGGGAUUCGAACCCAUGAAAUCAAGCUGCGCGCGACCCUUCGUUACCAUCUCACCUACAUAGCGCAUAUGCUUUCCUGAAGUAACCCGUGGAGGAGGCUUUAGUACCGGGUCAUAACACCACCCGGUACUAAAAAUGACUCUUCAGUACCGGGUCAUAACACCACCCGAUACUAGUAUCGGAUGGUGUAAUGACCCGAUACUAAAAGGCCUCUAGGGACCCUCAAAUUUGAACCCGGUACUAAUGCUAAUAUUAGUAGCGGGUCAAAGUGCAGCCAGAACUAAAGCAUGGGAUGAAAGGUCAUAUUUCUAGUAGUGUAUAGUUGUUGUGAAGGACUGACUUGGCUGUCCUCUCUCUUCUCCAUCCCCUUGGUCUUACGCCGCCGCUCGCACGCGAGCCGGUGCCCAACCAGAGGAGUGAGAGCUAGGGGCAGGUUGGGAGGUGGGGAUAGUGACUGGUGGCCAGGGUGAUGGUUGAUCCUGGUGGGGUUAGGGUUUUAGGGUUUUCGAGCUUCCUAUGGUCGGCGAACCUAGAGGAGGAGCUCAACAUCAGCUGCAACCCGCGAUGGUGGUGGUUUGGCCGGCGCCCGAGGCGAGGCAGCGCGGGAGUGCUGCCGGUGGGUUGGUGUUGGCACUCAUUAUUGACAACUAUUUUGUUCAUAAAAUAACACUCAAACUUGCUGCUGCUGCUGCUGCUGCCAUCGCCACCCUAGCCAUAAUAUAAAGGCAAAAUUUGCUAAAGGACAUGCAAAAUGAUGCUAGUUUGCUGGCGGGCAUCGUUGACCUUGUAAUAUGCUACAAGACACUCUAGUUGUGUAUCAAUUUGCUGAAAGACAUUGCUAUGACUAAAAUAAUGUUUCUGGACUGAGUUGGAGAGAGAGAUGGAGUGAAAUGUCUGUUUUGCCCAUGACCCCACUGGUCAGAUCCUUCUUCUUCCACCCUCCUUUGUUCUUUCUUCAACCAUUACCCAGCUCCAGCGUGUUGCAGAUCUACGAGGGUGGCGGCCUGGGGCGAGGGGCAUCGCUCGCCCUUGGAGGAGCGCUGCGAGCGACGGCGCGGGGGCGGCAACAGCGCGUCAGAACCUGACUGUUCGUUAGCUCCUCUCGCUGCUGGGGAAGGAGGGGGAUGGGCCAUGGACGGGGUUCCCUUGAAAACCUCAGCGUCGAGCUCGGGCGGCUACGCGCAGGCAGCACUAGGCUGCUUCACGGGGAGGGGGCGCGGCCAAUCAUUGGCACCCCACUGGUCCAAUGCUGAUGAAGAUGGUGCCAGCGUCGUGUGAGGACAUCUCAUCUCCUCGAGUUCCAUGGCCAGCACAGGUGAGCUGCCGCUACCACAAAACAGAGGUUUCGUGAGAGUCAAAAAACCUUAUGAAAAUAGCUAAAACCAUCAUGAAAAUAAUCCGUGACAUGACACUCUCACGAAAAUCCUCUCACAAAUAUGGUGCCAUGAAAAUACCAUUUUCAUGAGAGUGAACUGUCAUGAUUUUAUUUCGUGAGAGUAUUUCCUAUCAAUGACCUCCACGAAAUACUUUGUGCCACCAGGUCUUCAAGAUCAUUUUCAUGAGAGCUGAACAUCAGGAAAAGUCCGCCACAAAUGUUUUUCUUGGAGCCCCUAACUCUCAUGAAAAUCAUGCGGGCCGCCACGAAAAACAGCAUGACCAAAUGACAAAUUUCAUUUUCAUGUGUUCAUACCGCCAUGAAAAUGGUCAUUUUCAUGAGAGUUGAUGAAACAAAAAAUAGUGCCAUUUUCAUGAGAGUUCAAGCAACCAGGAAAAGACACUAAUAAACAUCCAGAUCCCAUCCAGCACACAUCCAUGCACAUAUAUAACCCACAUAUUGCUCCAGCACACAUCCAUGCAUAUACAAGAUCCAAAUGUUAAUAUAGUAGACAUCCAUGCCUGAACUAGUCUGCCACACAAGUCAUUGAUGCUACAAAUCCUACAAUCGCAGCAUGUGCAUACAAGUCACAGAAUGAGACAAUGUACCCAAAACUAAAAGGUUAGCAUCAACUGUGCUUCAACCAAAGUUGUCAUCCCAACUCUCCUCUUCAUCCAUGCCAUUCUUGUCGUGGCCGUCACUGUCAGUCCCCAUGGCAUUGCCAAUGCUGUGCAUGUCUUGGUAGGAACCUACAUGUGAUGAACUAGUAACCUGCAAAAAGAGCUCAAAGGAUCUUGUUCUCAUAUUGUAGCUGUGAAAUUCUUACAAGUAGUGUUGCAAUCAGUUCACUUUGAACCAAAAGAGCUCAAAGGAUCUUGUCCUAAAAGUUCCUCAUAAAGCUUAUGGGUUUGCUGGUGGAACUGGAAGGGCUUGAUGCAGCAGAUGCCAUUCUGCAAUAGAGAAAAAUUUAGAGAGCAGUACUAGUUAAAAUUGGAUGCAGAAGAUACACAUGAAACUAGUAUUUAUACAAGUCUAUACAAUUAAAAUCUAAGGAGACUUAUCAUCGUUUUCAUGUGUUGUGAAUUAAAAUAAUGAAGGAUACACUGUUAGGUGAAAAUUCAAGAAACAAAAUUUUGCAUAGAGAUAAAGGUCCAACAUUAUUACAAGUUAAGGUAGUUUUAAAUAUCCUUGUAAUCUUCCUUUGGUUUCCUCAACGAUUCGAAGACAAUAACCUUGCUUCUAUCAAUGAUAAUUAUAAGGAGAAUCCAGUGGAAACUGUGUAUUCGUAUUAGAACUACCUAAGGUUAAUUAGGUUAGGAAAGGAAAUUGAAAAUAGAUGGUACCCACACUUACUUAAAGUUGUCGGGCAAUAGUAUGUAAUGCUUGUAAUUCCGUUGCUCCAAGAAUUUGUAUAUGUGGUCCAAUGUAGACUUUGGUUGAUCCCGUAUCUGCUGUUGGUUAAAUAAGUGUUUCUAGCCAUUUCUAGCCAUUAGAACCGGGACUAAAGGGGGCUCUUUAGUACGGGUUGAUAUUACUAACCGGGAUUAAAGAGCCCCCAUUAGAGUUGGUUUUUGGAUGCGGAACUAACAACUCCUUUAGUCCUGAGUACGAAAACAACUGACAUAUUUGUUGCUGGAUGGAAGGUCCUUUCUCUACCGUGAAUAUUGCCAGAAAGAAUUGAAAGAGACUGCUUGCUAAAAAUAUGUCAUAGAUGUAGACCAAGCUACCAAGGAGGUAGACCAAACAUGAUACACACCAUGCGUACCUUGCUGUGCAGACUAUGCAUUGACAAGAUACCCGACCACAUGUUGGCCUCGGUCACAUCAAAAGAAUCAUGUAGGCCACCAAUAAACUACUUGAAGCGGCAUUCCGUAUCGUAUAUGCAUUGCCGGUUCAUCUGCAUUACAUUACAUAAAGCACUAUUAACUAUUUGAAUAAAAUGAACCAAUUUAAAAGUAAUGUGUUGUACUCUACUAUAGAAAGCCCUAUCACUGCCGGAUCCAAAAACAUCAUUGUUAAUGGUGGUUAAGUACCAAAUAUGACGGUCAAUAUUCUCAAGAAUAAUGGAGAAUUAGCAUUUCUUAGACACAUAUUUGGUUUUGAACAAUGUAGUUCCACAUGUCUUUGGAGAUUAUUUGGGUGUGGGUGAAAUAAUACAAAAAUAAGGAGAAAACACACUCCCAUGGCGAAGAAACACAACUCCAACCAAUGAGAGAUAGCCACAGGGGCAGCACACGGAUCCAUGGGCCCACUAACCGCAUCAAACCAUCUUACCAAGGCAGGUAGCACCCACAACCGUCAUUAGGACCCACCUGGAAGUCUACCAAGAAGAAGGUUGCGAGUGGGGCCAGGAGGGGUUCGGUUGAAUCAUCUCUAGCUAGCUCCCCUCAUCCCCAGCUGGUGGGUGGUGGUGGUUGAUGGUGUCCCUACAUCAGUUAGAGGAGAUUCCCCCAAAUAUUCCUCCUGUAAACCACCUCUAUGGACCUAUACAUAGAGGGGUGUGCUCUCCAUUCCAACACACACCACAAGUUGAAUCACUCUCUCCCUCUUUAGUUUCCAAGUUUAUGGAGUUAGGCUAGAGUAGCUCUGCUCAAGGUUCCAAGUCCACUUGGAGUUAAGCAUAUGUCUCUUGUAUCGUUAUUUCCUAAAUUGACUUUAUGCUUAGUUCUUAUAUGCAUGAGUUAGUCUAAUACCCUUGCUAUAUUGAUAUGCUCGGCUUAUAUGCUCGUAUGCUAGUCAUAUACCCUUGCUGUCGUAGUAUAGGCUUAUAUGCUCUCAUGUGUGCCUGUAGACCUUGCUAUAGUAUAUACUUGUUGUGCAUACAUACCAUGUAUAGGCUAGUCGAUCUAUACCAUGGCAUUGGUUCAAUAGCCAUGUUUUUGGUGGCUCCAACCCUAGUCACAAUAGCUCGGGACAGCUGGAGUGUUGUUAAAAAUGCAAGAGUGGUGCUUGGGUUGUUUAGCAUCGUUGGAUAUGGGUUUGCCCCACGGGUUUCUAACGGUAGGCGGCAGCUAGUGACAUCCCUGUCCGUCCUUCGUAAUCCCCCCACAUUCAGGUACGCCAUAAAUGUUCGUAAAUUAGCAGUAACUACGCCGGUACACCUGUAGGGUAUUGUCUCCCUGUAGUACCUUGGUGCAUAGAACUAAGUCCUAUACACUGUGUGUGUAUGUUUACGCUGAUAUGAUCUGUGCAGUAUAUAGGAUGUAUAUAUGAACCUAGAGCUAACUCCUAGUCCGUUCUCCAUAGCUUAGUUAUCUUGAGAUGAUUCUUCUGUAUGUGUAACACUACCCAUCUUAUCAUUAUCCUUGAUCCUGUCUUGUGUAAUAUAUCUACUCAUCCUAUGAUAUACUCAUAUGCAUAGUAAACUAUUUUGACCUACCCGCCUUCCUUUGGGAAAUAUGAUACCUUGGAAUAAUCCUAGGUGAAAUCCUACAACGGUAUAUCCAUGUAAAUGCGGAUUUAUUCAUGACCAUUAAAUAUACCAACAAUCAUCACUGUGAGUUUUGGGCGUCGUUAGUGAAGGGUUGGUAGUGAUGGGCAUCCCCUUCACCAAUGGACCUGGAACCGGCGGUGAUGGCUAUUAUAAAAAAGGGGACACCACCCAGCGUACCCCACGACCCGGCCGGCCGCACCUCCCAUCAUCCCCGCCAGCCGCCCUUCCUUUUCGCCGGCCGAGCAUGGUCCCGGCCUUUGUCCCUACCACCUCGCCUCCACCGCGACCCCCCGCCGAUGCCCUCGUGCCUGGCCCCCCUCAUCUUGCCGGCCACCCUCCCGAUGCGUCCACUGGGGCCCUCGCACCACCAACCGCCCUUGCUUAGAGAGGGAGAGAGAGGAGGGAGGUGAGGCCACGCACCUCGUCCUACACCGCCGCUGUUUCUCCUCGGCCCACCGCGCCUCACCCCACACCACAGCCGCGCCUUGCCAUCUUACCGGCUGUGACGCCUCAUCUCACCGGCCACCGUUCCUCACCCCCACUUCGGUCGUCGCCGCUCCUUGCCCUACCGCUGCUCUUUGCCGCUGCGAAUGAGCGCCGAGUGGAGGAGGAGGGAUGGGGCAGGAGGAGGGCAAGAUCCGGGAGGAAGGGAGAGAUCUCGGGAGGUGGAGAUGGAAGGAUAUGGCGGAAGGGAGAGAUCCAGAGGGAGAGAGCAGGGGAGAGAGGGGGGCGUGUGGGGAGAGAGCGCGUGUGGGGUGGGGCCGGGCUGGUGGGAUGGAAGGGAGAGGGGCUAGACGGGCGCAGUGCAUUCAACUGGAUGAAGUAAAUAUUUUGGAUUCGAGACCCCAGCUUUAUUAUCACCGCUGGUCCGUAGUACCAUCCGGUGCCUGCUCGUAAUUUAAUUUGAAUCUGCGGUGAUGUUUUAUUAUCACCAUCGGAUCAUAUAAAAAUCCGGCGGUUAAAAAUCCGCUGGUUUCGAUGAAAACCGACGGUGAUAGGAUGACUGUGAUAGUCUCUUCUCUAGUAGUGGUAUAUUAGUACCGGCUGCCGGAUGGUGUUGCCGACCAGUACUUCUCCGGGGGCGAUUCAGUACUGCUGUUAGCAAAGCUUGUUCUCUAUGAAUUUGGGGAUGGAAAGCUAGUUCUCUAGUUGUGAUUUGUUACAUAUAUAUCUAUGAUAGUCUAGAAAUUGCAUGUCCUUCGUUGACAUAGUUGAAGCUGCUUCAAGAAUUUACUUCGUGCAGUCGUGCAGCAUAUUGGAUUAUCACCUAGACAGGAUACAUAGGUGAAGCAUUGGAUGUGAUUGUGGCCGAUAAUUAUGCAGGACGCUGUUGCAAUCAACCACCAAGAAGUCUGGAGUGAUGGGGUUGCCUCAUCAAUAAUUUUUAUAUAUGGCUGCAGUAUUAUUAAGCCCACGUCAAUAAUUUUUUGUCCGCACCAUAUAUCGAUGGGGUUGCCUCAUCAAUAAUUCGCGCAACCAGACAAGCUGCAGACUCAAUAUGGUACGAAGCUAGUUGCUCAGCCCACAUGCUCUGAUAUAACAUUGACAUCUGCUGAUCUACAGUAUAUAUGACCAGAAAUAUUGUGCCCACCUCAAUAACUUUCUGAAGUAUCGUGGGGAAGAACCUACGCGUACUAUGCCUCGGAACUAACUGACAUAUCGGCCCAGGCGGUCUAGGCCGAUUGGACUGGCUCUUCCUUGUGGCUUCUCACAUCCCCUUCGUCCCCAAGUAAUUUCAGGUGUUCUGUAGUUUUCUUUUCACUUGCAUCUGAGCCUCCUAUAUCAAUAGCUUCGGGAUAAGAAUGCCUCUUGAUAACCUUCCAAAUCCUCGCUUGAUUCACAUUGAUUCCGAAAUCAUCUUGCCAUAUCUUCAGAGACUUAGGUCCUAAGGCAUCAUGGAGGAUUGCUCGCCAAGAAUGAGCACCAUUGGGCUCCUGAGGACCCUAGGCCGAUCAGCCCGGGCUCUAUAGGUCGAUUGGCCCAGGCCCUCUCUGGGCCUGUUGGCCUUCAUCUUUCUUUGAGUCGACGCUUAUUCAGGGCUUUGUCCAAUUAUAGUCCAUUAUAGUCUAAUUUCCUAAAAAACAGAAUGUCCUCCAAAAUACAAUGCAUAUGUGAAAACAACCCAAUUAUUAGGUAUGAUCAAUAGUUUAGGUAUUAAAUUAAUAUUAUUAUUUAAGAUAAACAGGGGUAAAGGGUGUCAUUAAUAACAAGCGCCAACAAGCGUCCUAGCUGUUCAAUAAAUUUUUUCUAGUACCGAUUGGUAACACUAACCGGUGCUAAUAUGUACCCUUUAUUACCGGUUAUUUUACCAGGUACUAAAGGAGACAAGAGCAUCCUAACAUAAGGUUAAUAUCAUCCAUUUCAUGAGUAAAAUACUAUGAUUCAAAAAUAAUUCAAAUCCCUUAAGACAAUACCUAUCAAAUGAGUAAAUUGUAAAUAGAGUAAUCUUGAUCAAACAAUGUCCUAAUGAAACGGAACACUUCUGGUUCGUGUAGAGCACAAUAUAGAAAACAGUAGGGUAGCUGUAUGAUUGACACGUGGUCCAUUAAUUAUUGAGCCAACACUAUGGACAUGUCUUCAUGAGUAGUGUACUAGUCAUAAUACAUGGUAUGCAGUAGGUGGAGGUAUUGACUUAGCCAUGCUAUGAGCACUUAGUUACAACAAACACUUUGCCAUUAUCGAGCAUCCCAAAUCACUACAAAAUCCAUAGUUUACCAUAUACUACAAAAUCUGAGUUAAAAUAAGAGCAUACACGGAAGAGUCCGAAUGCACGGCACAUUGAAUUACUAGACAAAAUUUAUGGGACAAGGUUUUGGGUAACCGCAUGAAAAAUAUUGGAUUUUACUGAACACUUAGUUACAAUUACCAUGCCCGUGAGCACUUAGUCACCACAAACAUUUAACCACUUUAGAUCAUCCUGAAUCCCUAUAAAUUCUAUACCUUACACCGUACCAUGAAAACGACAAGAACAGAGACAGAUGCGGUGAAAAUCUCCAGAGCAAGCCUGAAAUUAAAAUAAGAGGAGGCAGUCACUAUCGACAGGACACGGAGAUUGCUAGCCAUGACAGAGGAAGACAUGAUAUGAUAUUCACCUCUGAAAUGCAGCGUAGACUAAAUGAAGCACAAUUGCAAGUGAGUGUGGCAGAUAAUGGACCAUCGAGACCAUCGAAUGGUAUGAAGCAUGAUUAUCACCUAGACAUGAUAUCCUAGACAGGACGGUGAAUUGUAAAAAGAGUAAUCUUGAUCAAAGAAUGUCCUAAUGAAACGGAACAUUUUUGGUACGUGUAGAGCAAAAUAUAGAAAACAGUAGAGUAGUUGUACGAUUGAAACUGCAUCCAUCGACGUGGUGCAUGAAUUGUUGAGCCAACACUGUGGACAUGUCUUCAUGAACACCAUCUAGUGAGGACAGCAUGCAGAAAAAUAUAAAAACAUGUCAUAGGGAGGCAGACCAAUCUUGCGAGGUAGACGAAACGUGAUACACGAUCUGCCUACCUUGUCGUGUGGAUACCCCAAGUGAAGAUGUCAUAGAGGUGCAGACCAAGCUAGCAAGGAGGUAGAUGAAACGUGAUACACGGCCUGCCUACCUUGCCGUGGAUAUUAGUCCUGAUAUCAUUCUAUUGUUCAAGGAAUAACACUCAAUGCUGCUGCUGCUGCUGACCUGGCUCCAUAAAGUUAUAUUCCUCUAGCCGCUUGCACUAACUUUAUCUGAAGUAUUAUUCUCUCUGCACUGUAUAUAUGGUUACGGAGUUUGCUGGAGUAUCCGGGGGGAAGAACCUACAUAAUAUGUCUUGGAACUAACUGACAUUGAUUCACAGACAAGGUGCUGUUGUUGACAUGGUACAGUAAAUAAUAUAGUUUACCAUAUACCGUAUACCAUUAUAUGUUAGCUAAAAUAAGAGCAUAACAUGUCGCAGGAGUCCAAAAGCACCGGUUGAGGACCAGGUACAUUAAAUUACUAGAAAACAAAAGGGGACAAGGUUUAGGUAGCCACAUGAAAAACAUUUGAAUUUACUGUACCAUGAACACUUAGUUACCAUGCCGGGAGCACCUAGUUAACACUAACAUUUAGCCACUUUAGAUCAUCCCGAAACACCAAUGACCCUCAAUAGCGACAAAUUUUGGUUUAAAUGCCGUCACCAAUGAUCCUCAAUAGUGACGUGUUUAGGUUUAAAUCCCAUCACUAAUAACCCUUGGUAGUGACGUGUUUUGGUUUAAAUCUCAUCACCACUGAUCCUCACUAGUGACGUGUUUUUAGCAACACACGUUAUGAAUGACUUGUCAUUGGUGACAUGUUAAACGCGUUAUCUCAAUGGCAAAUCAAUGGUGACGUGUUUAAAAAAACAUGUCACUGUGAGAGUUAUUGGUGAAGGGUAAUUAAAAUGCAUCACUAAUUUUGUAGCAUUAGUUAUGAUAUAAUUUUGUAACGCAAAAAUCUACCAUAGUAAUGAGGUUUAGAGCCAUCACUAAUGUGGGUUUCUUAUCGUAGUGAUGCAAGCUCUACAAGGUGCUGUUGUUGCCAUUUUAAAGCAUCCCAAAUGACUACAAGAGUCCGGUUGAGGACUAAACAAAUUGAAUUACUAGAACCAAAUGUAUGUCCAGAACAAAGAAAGGGGUCAAGGUUUGGGUAACCGCAUUAAAAACAUUGAAUUUUACUGUACCAUGAACACUUAGUUACCAUUACCAUGCCUUGAGCACCUAGUUACCACAAACAUUAAUUUAGCCACUUUAGAGGUUCCACAAUCACUAUAAAUAAUAUACCAACACCGUACCAUGAAAACAUCAAGAAGAGAGACGGGUACAUGGACCACCAUCAAGUGAGUAGUGACAGCACGCACAAGAAUACCCGGAACCUUUUAGCUUGUCUGUAGUGAUCUGUUUUCUUCGCCACAAAUAAUGAAAGAGGCUGACCAAGCUAGCAACGAGGUAGAGCAAACGUGAUACACGUAGGUUUCAUUCAAGACAUCCAUGUAAGAUUCAUUCAAAACAUUCAUGGAAAUUUCUUGUAAGUUUUCAUGUAAAUUUCAUUCAAGACAUUUGUUAGAGGUGUUGUAUAUACACUUAACGUACAUAUAUCUAUGAUUUCAUGGUUGUUAGUGAUGGCAGAUGAGGAGCAUGCAAGGUGUUUAAUGGAGCAGAUUAUUGCUAGUGGUAGUGGCUCCAACCUGCCCGUAACGUACACCGACGAAGAGGGCAGCCAGGCGGACAUGUUCCUCAACAUGUCCGGUGAUGGCAAUGAAGAGCCCGAGCAAAACCUUGCCGUGACGGAAGGUUCCAUCGAGGUAUAUAUCAUUUCCAUUAUUUUACCCCAUCUAUAAUUUCAUAUUCAUUAUUACUAUGUGCUAAUUAAUGAAUCUUGAACCGUUAGUCCUCUAGAUCAACGAACCGAAAUAAGCCCCGAGGUCUUACAAAGAUAAUGCAGGGAAGGCUUCACAUCAUGGAAGUCACAGAAGAGGGCACAUCGGUUGCUCCCGAACAUGUGGCAAGAAAGUACGUGAGUCAAACCGGGGCAAUCGUAAGGGACAACAUGCCCAUCAGCAUCAGGGAAUGAAAGAGCAAUAGAAAUGAUCUAUACGCACCCCCGGAUACACAAAAGGAUAUGUUGUGGGCAAAUAUCAAGAAACACUUCACAUUUCCCAAAGGAUAUGUUGAAAAAUAUGUGAAAGCGUGGAUGUUGAAGAAGAUGGCCACCCAAUUCCAGACAUUCAAGAAGAUGUUGGAUGCCAACUUCAUCAAGAAGGGUCGAACUCCGGGUUUCAAUGAGUGGCCAAAGUUAAGGGACCACUGGGAGUCGUUUGUCGAAUACAAGACGAGCGAAGGUGGUGCGAGUAAGGUUCACAUCAAUGUUGCCAAUGCUAGCAAGGAGUACCAUCAUCAUCUAGGGCGACGUGGUUACAGCUCUGCAAUUCCCAGAUGGCGCAAGAUGGAACAAGACCUGAUCGAUCGGGGUAUCGUACCAGCAACUCUUGACUGGAUCGAUUGAAAAAUUGGUAUUAUGCUCAUGAAGGCAAUCUGAGCCAAGAGGAUCCGACAUUGGUCUUCAAUAAAACAAUACGUCAGAAGGUCGGAAGGCUUAUUAGGAACAUUGAAGAUGCUAAAGCUGGGAGGUUCAAGGUGGAUAGAGAGAAUGAUGAACUCACAUUGGCCCUCGGGACUGUCAUCUCUAGCACUUCCAGCUCCAGGACUAUCGUCACCACCGGGACCGUCGCUUCCUGCUCGAUCACAGUCUCCAUCUCCAGCACAUCCUGGUGGUGCGAGCGACGACGACAACAACACCCCUCCCUGCCCACCAUUGCCGGGACUAAGACCCGCAUUGAGUAAGGAACCUGCAACACCACUGAAGAAGUCGCGACCACCACCUUCAAGGCAAGUCAGCAAAAGAAGAAAGCAGAGAAGCCUAAACCCACUGAGAAGCCAGCGACUGAUAUGACCGAUGCGGAAAGAUGGAAGGCACUCAAAGAAGAAUGCAGGGAGUGGUUCAGCGAAGGCGAAGGUGAGAAAGUCGUAUGAAUCGAAUUCAAGGAUAUAUAUGAAGUGAACCAUCAGGAUGCCCUUGAUGUCUCUCUCAUCAGCGCCUAGGUUCUGUAAGUGUAUGUUUAUCUAUAAGUAAAUUUUGGCUCAUAUCAUUAUUUUUUUUGCGUGCGUCACCCUACUAACUUCGUCUUCCAUUUUAUGUAGGAUGCUAAUUCAGACGUGCCGCAUAGAAGCGUACUUCCAUGUUGGAUUCAUGGAUCCAUCCCUAGUUAACCAAAAGCCGAUACGGAAGUAGCUAGAGAAAACGUUGGAGGUGGUGUACAACCUCCUGGACAAACUAAACUACAGAAUAGGGGCAAUAUGUGAGGGUCUUGUAGGAUUCCUAGUGGACGAGGUGAUAAAUCCAUAAGGAGAAUAUCAUUCCAACGGACGAGCAUUAGACACACUGAGCAACACCUAGAUGGGAGGAUCCUAGGAAUGACCUCGACAGAUUUUGGUAUAAAUAGUAAUUGUGUAAAUACUAGUUUGAUUUGUAUAGGAAUAUACUAAGAAUUGUAUAUAUAGUAAUUGUACAAAUACUAGUUUGAUUUGUAUGAAUACUAGAUUGAUUUUAUUAUAAAAAAGUUUUAAGUCGUACGUGCAUGCGCCUACAAAGGCGCGGAUGCCUUUUAAUCCCAGUCGGAAAAACAAACUGGUACUAAAGGGGCUCGUGCCGCACCUGGCAUGACCACCCCUUUAGUCCCGGUUGAACGACCCAGGACUAAAGAUCUCCGCGUCUCAAAAAUUUUAUCUCGGAUGCUUUUUAGAGAGAUUUGAGGCCUAUCAACCAAGACUAAUAUCGAGUUUUCUACCAGUGAAACUAACUAACGUUCACAUGGUUUUGACAUUCACCUGCCAUUUGGUGUAGACAAGGGCACCCUAACAUAUGGUUAAUAUUAUUCUUGAAAGAAAAUCCUUUGAUUCAAAAUACUUCAAACCUAAUAAUACAAUACUUCUCACAUCUGAAAAAUAUGAGACGGCCCGACAGUAUUCUAAUCGACGCAAUAAUAUUUUGAGGGCAGCACUACUACAGCGACCCUCAUUCGUGCCGGUGCUGGGACUCCUAUCACGACCCUGAUACAAAUGAGGGUACAUUAUUGGUGCCAGUGCUAGAACAGCCACGAAUAACUUGCUAAACGUGCUGUUACACUCACUACAGGGACCAAGAAGGUAGAUAAAUUACACGACAUAGCCUUGGUUGCCGUGGAAGCGCCAAGAAGGGAGACAAAUUACAGGGACCACACCAUCAAGUAGAUAGUGACAAUAUGCAAAAGAAUACCCGCGCCUGUUAGCAUGUGAACUGACCACACCACGAAACGUGAUACACGGCAAGCGUACCAAGGCCUUGCUGUGCAGACUAUGCAUGGACAACACAUGGUACCUGACCGCUUUUGGCCUCAGACACAUCGAAAAACUGCAUCGUUCCACGUUGUACAUCCAUUGCUAGUUUAUCUAUAUUACAUAAUAUAUUAUUAGCUAUUUGAAUAGAAUGAACCAAUUAAAAAAUUGCGUUGUAUUUUUAGUACCGGCUGCAGGAUGGUGUUACCAACCAGUACUAAUUGGCCUGUAGGAGUGAUGGUUAUUAGACUUGGUACUGUUGUUAGCAUCAUUAACCUAAUUGUGCGCCGUAUGAAUUUGGGGAUGCAAAGCUAGCUCUCUAUGAAUGUGAGGGAUGGAAAGCUAGUUCUCUAGUAGUAAUUAUAUAUAUGACAGUCAAGAAAUCGAACACUAUGCUGCUACGAGUCACCAUCAUUUCCUUCAUUGACAAUCUGACAUAGGUGAAGCUGCUUCAAUAAUUUCCUUCGCGCAGUCGUGGAGCUUAUUGGAUUAUCACCAGGACGGGACACGGAAAUGGCCAGCAAUGAAGCUGAUUGCCGUCUGAGGAAGACUACAUACUUACCUAUGAAAUGAAGCGAUUGCAUAGACUAAUGAAGCAUUGCAUAUUUGCAUGUGAGUGUGGCAGAUAAUUCUGCAGGACAUGAUUGCAAUCCACGCACCAUCGAGAAGACUGGGGCGAUGGGGUUGCCUCAUCAAUAAUCACGUGGAUGCAUGCAUGCAUGUUCCCGCAACCGGACAAGGGUCUGAUAUAUGGCUAUAGUAUUACUGAGCCCACAUCAAUAAUUUCCACUGGUGUAUCGUGUGGGAAGAAUCAACAUACUACACCUCGAGUUCUUGGAACUAACUGACGUUCACAUGCAACCUCCACAAGGUGCUGUAUGCUUUUGACAUUCACCUGCCAGUUCGUGUAGAGAAGGACACCCUAACGUAUAGUUAAUAUUAUCCAUUUCAUGAGUAAAAUACUGUGAUUCAAAAAUACUUCAAAUCCCUUGAGACAAUACUUCUCACUUGACUAACCACUAACCAACCCCGAAACCCUAACUCAACUCCGAACCCUAACCCCUAACGGCAUAACCACUCCGUUUUGCCGGCGAGAUGGAGGAACUGGCUGGAAGGUAGAGAGGGCAGCGGUCCAGGGUUGAAAACGACGGGCGAGCGCAGUAACAUGUGGAGGAGGAAGUGCCACGUAUUCGUUCACCGCUAUUGGGCAGCGACACACGACACGCCCAAUAAGAUCUUCGCACGGUAGAAGGACGUCAUGUAUUCAAUAAUGUUAUUGGUCCCCCAUGUGCAGAAGGGCGCGCGCGUAUGGAAUAACAAGUAGGGACACUGCAACUAAUCUACUCUGCUCGUCCAGUCCCUAGCCUAUAAAUAGAUGCCAUGCUAGCUCUUGUUGUGCUCACAAUUAAUCCGAUUACACACGAGCUUCUCUCCCUGGCCAAGACACAACCAUAGUAUGAUGAAGAACAUGGCACUAGCCGGCAAUGGUAUGAAGAAGUUAAUCCUCGCUGUUCUCUUACUGUGUCUAGUUAUAGGGCAGAUACAAGUGGAAGCUAAGAGCUGCUGCCCAUCCACCACUGCAAGAAAUGUCUACAAUACCUGCCGUUUCACGGGUACAUCCCGUCCAACGUGUGCAAAACUGUCAGGCUGCAAAAUUAUCAGCGGGAACAAAUGCAAGCCCCCUAACGACCACCUCACCCUUGACCCGGACACUGGUAAAUAAUAAAUUUAUCUCACUUGAUUUCUUCGUGAUUUGAGUCGUUAAUGUAUUUUCCAUCUGAUGAAACGUAUUGGUUUUGCAUUGAAGAGGAAGUUAAUGUGCUUAACUUCUGCAAGUUGGGGUGUGCGUCGUCUGUGUGCAACAACAUCAACGCUGGUAAGCAACUUUUGCUCAGACAGAGAAAACAAUAAUCAUUAAUUAGCGGCAGCUAGAAUCCUAUAAUCUAAUAUAUAUAUAUAUAUAUAAUUUUAUCAGCUCUGGGAAAUGAAGAGGCGAACGAUGCCGUUGAGAGUUGCGACCAAGCCUGCUCUAGCUUCUGCAGCGUGCAUGUUGGCAGCGCCACCGUGGUUGCUUAAGCAAAUGCAUCCAACUAGAUCGUCCUUGUGCUGAAUAAUUGGAUAUCGUAUCCACUUAAAGCUGCCUUGUGUAGUACGUCUUUGUGUCUCUCUUUAUAUUCCAAUAAGGUCGGUGAUCUUGAUGCCACACACUCAGAUGUGUGUUCAUCUCCAGAUACUACUCCAUGCUACCUGCCCUUUGUGUUUUGUUCAAUAACUGGGUAUCAUAUCCCAGCCAGUAUGCCGUCUGUUUUGUGUUUGUUUCCUUCUAGUUCCAAAGGGGUCAUCAUGAUGUUACCUUCUUUCAAUAUGGUGCUUUGCAUGACUACUGUUGUAUGGUACCAUCUUGUGGCCAAUAAGUACAUCUUAUCCUAUGACCUUUGCUAUGACCCUUUGCAAAUAAGUAGAAGAUUGUUAUAAGCGUCAAUACUCCGUAUAAAUUGAUCGCUGCUGUGAGUUCCCUUUCAGCUUAUCGUAGGCAUACAUUAUUGCUAGCACGGUAAAGCCAACCAACACGAAUGAUGAAGUAAACGUAGCGGUACUUCUGUAUACCAACACCCUUACUUAAAU